UGCAAUGCGAUAGCGGCAGCCACCUCCUC
RNAcentral lists this small RNA (29 nucleotides) under Bombyx mori (domestic silkworm). RNAcentral describes it as "ovarian small RNA-33406". Lineage: Eukaryota; Metazoa; Arthropoda; Insecta; Lepidoptera; Bombycidae. The record is from RNAcentral.